Molecule: non-coding RNA, 212 nt
Organism: Pelobates cultripes (western spadefoot toad)
Lineage: Eukaryota; Metazoa; Chordata; Amphibia; Anura; Pelobatidae
Source: the annotation of a GenBank genome assembly
GCUUGUGCAAAAGAUGUCACCUGGAAAUGGGUGUUCAUCAAGCUCCAUGUACAUUAAUUAUCAGCAACCCAGCUACAAACAUUAAACGAUCCACCGUAAAAAUUCUCCUCAACACAUAGCUUUCUGUUAUCUCAGCUGUUAUCUCACUUGUUAUCAUACCUUGUUAUCUUACUCCUCGAGAGAAAAACUACUGUAGGCCAACAAAGUCUGGC